GGGAAACAGGUUAAUAUUCCUGUACUUGGUGUUACUGCGAAGGGGGGACGGAGAAGGCUAUGUUGGCCGGGCGACGGUUGUCCCGGUUUAAGCGUGUAGGCUGGUUUUCCAGGCAAAUCCGGAAAAUCAAGGCUGAGGCGUGAUGACGAGGCACUACGGUGCUGAAGCAACAAAUGCCCUGCUUCCAGGAAAAGCCUCUAAGCAUCAGGUAACAUCAAAUCGUACCCCAAACCGACACAGGUGGUCAGGUAGAGAAUACCAAGGCGCUUGAGAGAACUCGGGUGAAGGAACUAGGCAAAAUGGUGCCGUAACUUCGGGAGAAGGCACGCUGAUAUGUAGGUGAAGUCCCUCGCGGAUGGAGCUGAAAUCAGUCGAAGAUACCAGCUGGCUGCAACUGUUUAUUAAAAACACAGCACUGUGCAAACACGAAAGUGGACGUAUACGGUGUGACGCCUGCCCGGUGCCGGAAGGUUAAUUGAUGGGGUCAGCGCAAGCGAAGCUCUUGAUCGAAGCCCCGGUAAACGGCGGCCGUAACUAUAACGGUCCUAAGGUAGCGAAAUUCCUUGUCGGGUAAGUUCCGACCUGCACGAAUGGCGUAAUGAUGGCCAGGCUGUCUCCACCCGAGACUCAGUGAAAUUGAACUCGCUGUGAAGAUGCAGUGUACCCGCGGCAAGACGGAAAGACCCCGUGAACCUUUACUAUAGCUUGACACUGAACAUUGAGCCUUGAUGUGUAGGAUAGGUGGGAGGCUUUGAAGUGUGGACGCCAGUCUGCAUGGAGCCGACCUUGAAAUACCACCCUUUAAUGUUUGAUGUUCUAACGUUGACCCGUAAUCCGGGUUGCGGACAGUGUCUGGUGGGUAGUUUGACUGGGGCGGUCUCCUCCUAAAGAGUAACGGAGGAGCACGAAGGUUGGCUAAUCCUGGUCGGACAUCAGGAGGUUAGUGCAAUGGCAUAAGCCAGCUUGACUGCGAGCGUGACGGCGCGAGCAGGUGCGAAAGCAGGUCAUAGUGAUCCGGUGGUUCUGAAUGGAAGGGCCAUCGCUCAACGGAUAAAAGGUACUCCGGGGAUAACAGGCUGAUACCGCCCAAGAGUUCAUAUCGACGGCGGUGUUUGGCACCUCGAUGUCGGCUCAUCACAUCCUGGGGCUGAAGUAGGUCCCAAGGGUAUGGCUGUUCGCCAUUUAAAGUGGUACGCGAGCUGGGUUUAGAACGUCGUGAGACAGUUCGGUCCCUA
Molecule: ribosomal RNA, 1235 nt
Filed under: Escherichia coli
Lineage: Bacteria; Pseudomonadati; Pseudomonadota; Gammaproteobacteria; Enterobacterales; Enterobacteriaceae
Description: partial 23S ribosomal RNA
Rfam family: Bacterial large subunit ribosomal RNA
Source: RNAcentral